UGGCUUAGAUGGUAAAGAACUUGCCUGCAAUGCAAGAGACCCUGGUUCAAUCCCUGG
Bos taurus (domestic cattle) is the source of this 57-nucleotide non-coding RNA. NCBI's taxonomy places the organism in Eukaryota, Metazoa, Chordata, Mammalia, Artiodactyla, Bovidae. The record is from Rfam.